RNAcentral lists this long non-coding RNA (407 nucleotides) under Medicago truncatula (barrel medic). Its description in RNAcentral is "lncRNA gene30541". The record is from RNAcentral. Lineage: Eukaryota; Viridiplantae; Streptophyta; Magnoliopsida; Fabales; Fabaceae.
GUUUUGUCUCAUGUAUUUGACACAUUUUAUAAAAAACACAUUCCUUAGAAGGCUUUGCUACAUCUUUUUCCUUUUCAAGAGUCAUUUUGUUAUGACUUCCAUGAAAGAGUUGAAAUCCCAGGCCUCCUCUUCCUCUACCAAUGAAUGGCGGGCUUAUGAUGUUUUCCUCAGUUUUCGAGGAGAGGAUACUCGAAAGGGUUUUACCGGAAACCUUUAUAAAGCUCUUUGUGGAAAAGGAAUCGACACUUUCAUAGAUGACCAAGAGCUUAGGAAAGGAGAAGAAAUCACACCAGCACUCAUGAUGGCAAUCCAAGAAUCAAGGAUUGCAAUUGUGAUUUUUUCAGAAAACUAUGCAUCAUCCACUUUCUGUUUGAAAGAACUUACAAAGAUCAUGGAGUGCAUAAAAC